This 237-nucleotide long non-coding RNA is filed under the name Capsicum annuum. RNAcentral describes it as "long non-coding RNA (CANN_LNC015160)". The record is from RNAcentral. Lineage: Eukaryota; Viridiplantae; Streptophyta; Magnoliopsida; Solanales; Solanaceae.
CAAAACUCAAAAGUAAUCUGUCUUUUCAAAGUCAAUGGAAACCAUUUUGAAAUUGGCAGUGUUUUAUAUUGGAUAGGAAAUUCCAAAACUAUUUCAGUAUUACAUAUUUCUUCCAUUCAUUUUACUUGUAUUCAUCAAGCCUUAGAAACAGUUUGCAGAAAUGCAAGGUAAGACUGUGUAUAAUAUACUCUUAUGGUGGAUCCCUUCUCCGAACCCUGAGCAUAGCGGGAGUUUUAG